CCUACGGGGGGCAGCAGUGAGGAAUAUUGGUCAAUGGACGCAAGUCUGAACCAGCCAUGCCGCGUGCAGGAAGACGGCUCUAUGAGUUGUAAACUGCUUUUGUACGAGGGUAAACGCAGAUACGCGUAUCUGUCUGAAAGUAUCGUACGAAUAAGGAUCGGCUAACUCCGUGCCAGCAGCCGCGGUAAUACGGAGGAUUCAAGCGUUAUCCGGAUUUAUUGGGUUGAAAGGGUGCGUAGGCGGUCGGAUAAGUUAGAGGUGAAAUCCCGAGGCUCAACUUCGGAAUUGCCUCUGAUACUGUUCGGCGAGAGAGUAGUUGCGGUAGGCGGAAUGUAUGGUGUAGCGGUGAAAUGCUUAGAGAUCAUACAGAACACCGAUUGCGAAGGCAGCUUACCAAGCUACUUCUGACGUUGAGGCACGAAAGCGUGGGGAGCAAACAGGAUUAGAUACCCGUGUAGUC
Molecule: ribosomal RNA, 460 nt
Filed under: uncultured bacterium
Lineage: Bacteria
Description: partial 16S ribosomal RNA
Rfam family: Bacterial small subunit ribosomal RNA
Source: RNAcentral